CGGUCACCCACAUUAGUAAGUUUUUUUAUAACUGCCCAAUAUUUGUAAUGGAUUUAUUUUUGUUGGGUUGUUUUGGUUUUGUAUGAAAAAGAUAGUUAAAUCUCAUGUAUGGUUGGAUUGGAUUAUUGAUAUUUGUAUAUCUUAAUUGUUUAUGGAUUGCGACAUUAAGGGUUGAUGAUGAUGUAGAAAGGAGGACAAUAGUCUUUGAUAUUUUUGUCUCUUACAUUUUUUAAUGUAUUUGAAAUGUUGCAAAUGAUUAUAUGAGAGAUUGUUGAUGUAUGACAUAUCAUCGUUUAACGUUGCUAUAUUCUUAAUAUUCAUCACAAGAAAGAUGGAACUUAUAAUCUUUGUUUCUAAAUAUUAGUAGUUAAUUAUAGGAGAAAAUUGAAAAAAGAAUUGUUGAGAUCCAAGAUCUACAACAACAUUCAGAAGAAAUUGAAAAUUAAGUGCCUUCUCAAAGUAGUUGGAUCGAAAAAGGACCUGGAUGAAUUCGUCAUGUCGCUGUUGGUGGCGAUGCCACAGAAGGUUCCUGUCUCUGUAGUGCACGGGGGCACUUACGUGGCACAAUUGGAGCCCUUGAUCUUGAGAUUUGGGGGCUAAAGGACAAUUAUGGAGGACCCCAUUGGUUGCUUCAUGAGUUAUGGGUCUCAUUUGAGGGUUUUACUUGAUGCCUAAAAACAUUCUUGUUCAUGGCUCAUUCAAAGGGAGAUCGAGAGGUAAAGGGGAAGUGCAAGGAAAAAUGGAUUUUUCAUUUUUUGGGUUUUCAAAG
Molecule: long non-coding RNA, 769 nt
Filed under: Gossypium raimondii (Peruvian cotton)
Lineage: Eukaryota; Viridiplantae; Streptophyta; Magnoliopsida; Malvales; Malvaceae
Description: long non-coding RNA (GRAI_LNC004826)
Source: RNAcentral